Molecule: ribosomal RNA, 872 nt
Filed under: uncultured bacterium
Lineage: Bacteria
Description: bacterial SSU rRNA
Rfam family: Bacterial small subunit ribosomal RNA
Source: RNAcentral
AGAGUUUGAUCCUGGCUCAGGACGAACGCUGGCGGCGUGCCUAAUACAUGCAAGUCGAACGCUUUUUUCAAUCAUCGUAGCUUGCUACACCGAUUGAAAAUUGAGUGGCGAACGGGUGAGUAACACGUGGGUAACCUGCCCAAAAGAGGGGGAUAACACUUGGAAACAGGUGCUAAUACCGCAUAACCAUGAUGACCGCAUGGUCAUUAUGUAAAAGAUGGUUUCGGCUAUCACUUUUGGAUGGACCCGCGGCGUAUUAACUUGUUGGUGGGGUAACGGCCUACCAAGGUAAUGAUACGUAGCCGAACUGAGAGGUUGAUCGGCCACAUUGGGACUGAGACACGGCCCAAACUCCUACGGGAGGCAGCAGUAGGGAAUCUUCUACAAUGGGCGCAAGCCUGAUGGAGCAACGCCGCGUGAGUGAAGAAGGUCUUCGGAUCGUAAAACUCUGUUGUUAGAGAAGAACAUGCAGGAGAGUAACUGUUCUUGUAUUGACGGUAUCUAACCAGAAAGCCACGGCUAACUACGUGCCAGCAGCCGCGGUAAUACGUAGGUGGCAAGCGUUGUCCGGAUUUAUUGGGCGUAAAGGGAACGCAGGCGGUCCUUUAAGUCUGAUGUGAAAGCCUUCGGCUUAACCGAAGAAUUGCAUUGGAAACUGGAGGACUUGAGUGCAGAAGAGGAGAGUGGAACUCCAUGUGUAGCGGUGAAAUGCGUAGAUAUAUGGAAGAACACCAGUGGCGAAAGCGGCUCUCUGGUCUGUAACUGACGCUGAGGUUCGAAAGUGUGGGUAGCAAACAAGAUUAGAUACCCUGGUAGUCCACACCGUAAACGAUGAAUGAUAAGUGUUGGAGGGUUCCCCCCUUCAGUGCUGC